GUAGGUGAACCUGCGGAAGGAUCAUUACCGAAUUGUCGACACGAGUUGUUGCUGGUCCUCAAAUGGGGGCAUGUGCACGCUCUGUUUACACAUCCACUCACACCUGUGCACCCACUGUAGUUCUAUGGCCUGGGGGGCUCCGUCCCUUUUGCCGUGGUUCUAUGUCUUUUACAUACACGCUGUAAUAAAGUUUCACGGAAUGCAUCGUGCGUUUAACGCAAUAUAAUACAACUUUCAGCAACGGAUCUCUUGGCUCUC
Molecule: unclassified non-coding RNA, 258 nt
Filed under: rhizosphere metagenome
Description: partial ribosomal RNA internal transcribed spacer region
Source: RNAcentral